This 301-nucleotide ribosomal RNA is filed under the name uncultured bacterium. Its description in RNAcentral is "partial 16S ribosomal RNA". It matches the Rfam family "Bacterial small subunit ribosomal RNA", at positions 509 to 807 of the family's 1533-position model. The record is from RNAcentral.
CAGUCGCCGCGGGAAUACGAAGGGUGCAAGCGUUAAUCGGAAUUACUGGGCGUAAAGCGUGCGUAGGCGGUUUCUUAAGUCUGCUGUGAAAUCCCCGGGCUCAACCUGGGAAUGGCAGUGGAUACUGGGAAGCUAGAGUGUGUCAGAGGAUGGUGGAAUUCCCGGUGUAGCGGUGAAAUGCAUAGAGAUCGGGAGGAACAUCAGUGGCGAAGGCGGCCAUCUGGGACAACACUGACGCUGAGGCACGAAAGCGUGGGGAGCAAACAGGAUUAGAUACCCCCGUAGUCCCUGUCUCUUAUAC